AUUGAACGCUGGCGGCAGGCCUAACACAUGCAAGUCGAGCGGAUGAAGGGAGCUUGCUCCUGGAUUCAGCGGCGGACGGGUGAGUAAUGCCUAGGAAUCUGCCUGGUAGUUGGGGAUAACGUCCGGAAACGGGCGCUAAUACCGCAUACGUCCUGAGGGAGAAAGAGGGGGAUCUUCGGACCUCACGCUAUCAGAUGAGCCUAGGUCGGAUUAGCUAGUUGGUGGGGUAAAGGCCUACCAAGGCGACGAUCCGUAACUGGUCUGAGAGGAUGAUCAGUCACACUGGAACUGAGACACGGUCCAGACUCCUACGGGAGGCAGCAGUGGGGAAUAUUGGACAAUGGGCGAAAGCCUGAUCCAGCCAUGCCGCGUGUGUGAAGAAGGUCUUCGGAUUGUAAAGCACUUUAAGUUGGGAGGAAGGGCAGUAAGUUAAUACCUUGCUGUUUUGACGUUACCAACAGAAUAAGCACCGGCUAACUUCGUG
Molecule: ribosomal RNA, 484 nt
Filed under: uncultured bacterium
Lineage: Bacteria
Description: partial 16S ribosomal RNA
Rfam family: Bacterial small subunit ribosomal RNA
Source: RNAcentral